Molecule: unclassified non-coding RNA, 3598 nt
Filed under: Monomorium pharaonis (pharaoh ant)
Lineage: Eukaryota; Metazoa; Arthropoda; Insecta; Hymenoptera; Formicidae
Description: tubulin-specific chaperone D, transcript variant X2
Source: RNAcentral
CAUCUUAUGUACAAUAUGGCGAUUUCAUGCUUGGAGCUGAUUGGUUCCAUUUGGUCUUAUGCUAUGUUUAUGUAGCUUAUGUCAUUUUGAGUGUGAUGGGCCAAAAUAAUCAAGAUCAGUUUGUGGUUAUAAUUAUUCAGACGACGGCGAACGUUUUGUCGUGCCAUUUGUGAUCCACGCGAAUCAACGCGAAUAGCUCGUUGCGUAUGCAAUCGAGCGAACAGCGAAAUUCGAUAAAAAGACUCACAUAUACGAUGGCAUUGAACGAUUGCGUAGACCCGGAGCGGGUAGUAUGUGGCUUUAGCGCAUUCAAGGAAAUAGACGAAGUGACUGCUUUGAUAGCGGAGUUGAACCAGCCCAAUCUGCUGACGAGUCACGUCGAGCGAAACAGAGAUCGCUUUAAUUUUAUCUUGUCCCAAUAUCAGGAUCAGCAUCAUCUUCUAGAUCCGUAUCUCGAGCGUAUCCUGGGAUCCUUGCUGUUGGUCAUCAAAGAUGAUGUAUGCCCGGAAUGUGUCAAGCACAACGCGUUCAAGUAUCUAUUUAUCAUCAUGUCGGUGAAAACGUAUAAGAGAAUUGUCACUUAUCUUCCGCACGAAGUGGCGGACCUUCUGCCAGUGUUAAGAAUGCUCGAAAAGCAAGACCCGAAUGAUGUAGAGACAUGGGAGACUCGAUAUGUCCUGCUUAUUUGGUUGUCCAUAAUUUCUAAAAUACCUUUUCCUUUGUCUCGUCUGGAGACAUCCAAAAAUAUAGAUCUGGAGCAAACCAUUAUUGUCAGAAUUUUAAAAGUAUGCAAAUUGUAUUGCUUGUCGAAAGAUUCAUGUGCCGUGGCGGCUGUUUUUUUAAUAGCAAAUUUUUUAACACGGUCGGAUGUGAAGAAGUUAUAUUUGGAAGAAAUGAUAAUGUGGUGCUUAAAGUGUAUAGAAAAUGAUCCUUUGAGACAUGGCCCUUUAGCUGUAAUAGCCUCGAUAUUAAAGCAUAGUGCGAGAGAAGACGUUAAACCAUAUAGUCAGAUACUUCUCGAUAAUAUAUUGAAACUUCAGUUAAGCGACAAUCCAGCGGAUCUUAUUAGAAAAUUUGGAAUAAAAGUUGUCCAGCGCAUAGGUCUAGUAUUGUUGAGAACAAAAUUAGCGUCUUGGCGCUACCAGAAAGCAAGUCAUCCAAUCAGCAUUAUACCUAACAUCAAAACGGAUAAUAUUGAUAAUGCUGAAAGUAAAAUUAAUAAUAUUAAAAAAACCAUUUCGAACGACAGUGAAGAUCAGGAGAUUUCCCCAGUUAUUGAAGAUAUAAUAGAGCAACUCAUUCAGGGUCUUCGGGAUAAAGCGAUUAUUGUAAGGUGGUCUGCAGCGAAAGGUAUUGGCAGAAUAACCGCGAGAUUGCCGAUAGACUUAGCCGACGAUGUAUUAGGAUUCGUGUUGAAUCUCUUCUCUGGGCGAGAAUCAGAUUCAGCUUGGCAUGGUGGUUGUUUGGCGCUCGCUGAACUUGGAAGACGUGGCCUAUUGUUACCUCAUCGUUUAAAUGAUGUUAUUCCCGUGGUACUACAAGCUCUAGUCUUCGACGAACCCAGAGCUUAUGGAUCGAUCGGUUAUUUGAUCAGAGAUGCAGCUUGUUAUAUAUGUUGGUCUUUUCCAAGAGCCUAUGAUCCGCACAUUUUCGAACGUUACCUCAAAGAAAUUGCGGCAAUGUUGUUAGUUGUAACGUGUUUCGAUAGAGAGAUAAACUGCAGAAGAGCAGCGUCUGCCGCGUUUCAAGAAAACGUAGGCAGACAAGGCAAUUUUCCGCAUGGUAUAGAUAUACUGACUGUCGCCGAUUAUUUUGAAGUUGGUGUGAGGAGUCACACGUACCUCAAAAUCAGCGUACAAAUUGCACAAUACGAAGAAUAUACAAAACCUUUAAUAGAUCAUUUAGUGACAAAGAAGGUCACACAUUGGGACACUUCAAUAAGGGAACUUUCAGCCAGAUCGCUUUUCAACCUGACAGCAGCUGAUCCGCAUUACAUGAUAAGUACAGUACUGUCAACAUUAUUGGAUAUGUUGAAUUCUAUCGACUUGAAUGUUAGACACGGUGCAGUACUAGCUACUGCGGAAAUUCUUGAAGCUUUACAUAAUCACUUUAAUGAUAAAAUUGAAUAUAUUAUUGGAACCGCGGCUGUAGCUGAUAUACAAAAUAUAAUACGAACUUUCAGGAAUAGAGGACAAUUUAAAGGUCUUGGAGGAGAACUAAUGAAACAAGCUUGCGCCGUGUUGAUAAAAAAAUGUUCCAUGGUUCAUUUUCCUGUUCAUUUCACAGAUGUUGUAGAUGACUGGCAGAAAUUAUUAGAGGAAUGCUUGAGCCACGAAGUAUCGGCAGUUAAAUUGAAAGCGGCCGAGGCGCACACAAACUUCUUUCUGGAAUAUUAUGUUGAUGUUGAUUAUGACACACGAAAUGCUGUGGUGAAUCGUUAUUUGGAGUCCUUGCAAUCGAGUAGUCAGUCCGUUAGAAUAGGAUUUGCACAAGCAACAGGACAUUUUUCGUUGUUUGUAAUUCGUGAAAGAAUAAAAGAUAUCAUAAAUUCGUUGAUCACGUGCACUCAUAUAACCGAGAACACGCUGAAAUGGGCAGAGAGUAGAAAACAAGCCUUGCAAUCUCUAACAAUGAUACUACAAACGUUAGGAAUCGAUGAAGCCGACAAAUGGCAACCAUUUGUGCCGGAUGUGUACGACUGUUACUUAUUGGCUCUGAAAGAAUAUACGAUAGAUAGUCGCGGAGAUAUAGGCGCUUGGGUGAGAGAAGCGGCUAUGAUUGGAUUACACGUGUUAACAAACCUAGUAUCACAAGCAAAACUAUUGUUUGUGUUGAACGAAGACUUGAUGGCUGGUAUUGUUGGUGGUGUUGCACAGCAGGCUGUUGAAAGGAUAGACGGAAUUCGGGCUCAAGCUGGUAUUGUAUUCAGUUCUCUUAUACACAGCAAUCCGCCACUUCCAAAUAUACCACAUCAUAAUGAAUUGAAAACUAUAUUUCCUUAUAACGAAUGCAAAGAAAUUGAGUGGCGAAUGGAAUCGGCAACGUUUCCACGAUUUAUCAAGAUGUUGAGUUUUCCAUCGUAUAAAAUAAACUUGUUACGCGGAAUUAUAUUCAGUGUCGGCGGUUUAAGUGAAUCUUUGGGAUCGGCCGAACUUGACGCAUAUAUUCACGGAAGUCUUCAAGGAAGUAGUUGAGUUAGGUGUACAAUUAUCGGGGAGAAAGAAUUCCCCAGGAAGUGAUAAAGUUGUUCCGAAUAUAAAUUCAGGGAGUGUCGCAUUUGUGUCAGCACGAACGUGCACCCGGAAUCCUAAUAGGAUCGUGUACAAGGUACAGGUCCAGCACGAAUCGCCGUGGCACAUAAUUGCAGCCUUAACCCGGUGCCAACGUUCAAUUAUGCUAUUUGACGCCGGGUGGUAAGCGGUCGUGCGACUUCGCUCACAACUAAUUAAUGAGAGCAAUGACGUAAAUAGGCGAAAUUCGAAUCCCUGGGAUCCCUGGUCUGUAGUACGAGGACCCGUAGCAAAGAGAGCGUUUUGCCAAUUGAGUAUAUUUUUGUGUCACAAAUACACAAGUUUAAGGAGGACAACGGCUAUACGUA